CAGUCGCCGCGGUAAAACGGAGGGGGCCAGCGUUGUUCGGAAUUACUGGGCGUAAAGCGCACGUGGGCGGCUUGGUAAGUUAGAGGUGAAAGCCCGGAGCUCAACUCCGGAAUUGCCUUUAAGACUGCCGAGCUAGUAGGUGAGAGAGGUAAGUGGAAUUCCGAGUGUAGAGGUGAAAUUCGUAGAUAUUCGGAAGAACACCAGUGGCGAAGGCGGCUUACUGGCUCAUUCUAGACGCUGAGGUGCGAAAGCGUGGGGAGCAAACAAGAUUAGAACCCCGGUAGUCCCUGUCUCUUAUACA
This 301-nucleotide ribosomal RNA is filed under the name uncultured bacterium. RNAcentral describes it as "partial 16S ribosomal RNA". It matches the Rfam family "Bacterial small subunit ribosomal RNA", at positions 509 to 808 of the family's 1533-position model. The record is from RNAcentral.